CAGGCCAUUUCUGUAGUUGAGUUUUCAUUUACGCUGAAUUAUUAUGUCGUGCGAUUCGACAUGGUCUGA
This 69-nucleotide transfer RNA is filed under the name Ophiotermes grandilabius. Its description in RNAcentral is "tRNA-Val". The record is from RNAcentral. Lineage: Eukaryota; Metazoa; Arthropoda; Insecta; Blattodea; Termitidae.